CAGAGGAAUGACCCAGAACAUUUGACAAGCCUAGUGUCAUCCAGAUCACACUUUGGGAAGUGGUGCCUGAGACUCCUCACCCUCUGUCUCUGUUCUGUGGAGGCCUGUACCAACCGCAAAUUGGCAAGCAUCGUGCUGAAGAAAGAAAAGACCUUAUCCAGCUAUUUAGAGGAGAUGUGACAAAUUACAGUGACAGAAUACCUUACAUUAUACAGAUUUUACUGUCUCUGGAACCCUCCUGGUUAUUCUUCUCAUGUUUCAUCUCCAUGGUGACCUGAUGAAGACAACAAGGACGGUCUCUCUAUUGCUUUUGCCGCCACUAACGACCAUCAUCAAGUGGGAUUUCAAGAGGAGCACUACGAUCCUAUAAGUGGGAUUCAGUUUGUGGGGAAUAGAGGCCAGGGCUUCCUGCAUGUGGAGACUGCCAUGUUUGUGCAUGACUGCAACCAGCCCAGAAGCUGUAUUUACAGGAAACACAGAGUUAAGUUUGAUGGAAACAAGCAGUAAUGUUAUCUUUUGGAAAAA
RNAcentral lists this long non-coding RNA (525 nucleotides) under Pan troglodytes (chimpanzee). Its description in RNAcentral is "long non-coding RNA NONPTRT002777". The record is from RNAcentral. Lineage: Eukaryota; Metazoa; Chordata; Mammalia; Primates; Hominidae.